AGCAGCCGCGGUAAUUCCAGCUCCAAUAGCGUAUAUUAAAGUUGUUGCAGUUAAAAAGCUCGUAGUUGAAUUUCGGGAUCAAUACGUCGGUCGUGCUUCGGUACGUACUGGCGUCAUUGAUUUCUCCCUUCUGACGAACCAUGAUGUCAUUAACUUGGUGUCAUGGGAAAUCAGGACUGUACUUUGAAAAAUUAGAGU
RNAcentral lists this ribosomal RNA (198 nucleotides) under uncultured Glomus. RNAcentral describes it as "partial 18S ribosomal RNA". It matches the Rfam family "Eukaryotic small subunit ribosomal RNA", at positions 569 to 772 of the family's 1831-position model. Lineage: Eukaryota; Fungi; Glomeromycota; Glomeromycetes; Glomerales; Glomeraceae. The record is from RNAcentral.